CUUGACAUCCAGCGAACUUUCCAGAGAUGGAUUGGUGCCUUCGGGAACGCUGAGACAGGUGCUGCAUGGCUGUCGUCAGCUCGUGUUGUGAAAUGUUGGGUUAAGUCCCGCAACGAGCGCAACCCUUAUCCUUUGUUGCCAGCGAUUCGGUCGGGAACUCAAAGGAGACUGCCGGUGAUAAACCGGAGGAAGGUGGGGAUGACGUCAAGUCAUCAUGGCCCUUACGAGUAGGGCUACACACGUGCUACAAUGGCGCAUACAAAGAGAAGCGACCUCGCGAGAGCAAGCGGACCUCAUAAAGUGCGUCGUAGUCCGGAUCGGAGUCUGCAACUCGACUCCGUGAAGUCGGAAUCGCUAGUAAUCGUGGAUCAGAAUGCCACGGUGAAUACGUUCCCGGGCCUUGUACACACCGCCCGUCACACCAUGGGAGUGGGUUGCAAAAGAAGUAGGUAGCUUAACCUUCGGGAGGGCGCUUACCACUUUGUGAUUCAUGACUGGGGUGAAGUCGUAACAAGGUAGGCGUAGCGAG
RNAcentral lists this ribosomal RNA (529 nucleotides) under uncultured bacterium. RNAcentral describes it as "bacterial SSU rRNA". It matches the Rfam family "Bacterial small subunit ribosomal RNA", at positions 980 to 1509 of the family's 1533-position model. The record is from RNAcentral.